This 62-nucleotide transfer RNA is filed under the name Cerambycidae sp. 5 KM-2017. RNAcentral describes it as "tRNA-Cys". Lineage: Eukaryota; Metazoa; Arthropoda; Insecta; Coleoptera; Cerambycidae. The record is from RNAcentral.
AGUCUUAUAUUCAAAAAUGAUAUUAAAUUGCAAAUUUAAAGGUAACAAAAUGUUUAAGGCUU